GUGAUUCUGAUGUGCAAAACAUGUGAGACCCGCUGCUUUAGUUGCAUUGCCUAAUUUAACUCUCGCAAAAGUGCUAAGAGAAUCCCUAUUAAAGGGAAGACAAAGAAACUCAGAAAGGUUAAAGCAGCCAGGUGCUACCUACAGAGAAUGGUUCCCCAGGCCUUUGCAAACUGACCGCGAGAGGCCAGAAGAGCACGCAAGUAGGAGUAAAGGGCUUGGUGUCUGGAGGCUUUUGGUGUAAAAAGCAGCAGGGAAGCCUUAUUCCACGGUUUCCCUUUGUCCCACACGUAGCCAGCUUGCCCACCCUAGAGGGGAUCUUUGGCUUCUUUUGGUGUCAGCAGCUGGCUGUGCUCUGCAGGAGGUGGCAGCUGAGGAUCUGUCUGGGAAGUGUAUUGCUCAGGGUGGGCGUGCUCUGUGCAUGGUGGGGUGAAGAGGGGCACAGGAGGCCAGCUGUUGGCUCUAGGACCAUGCAAAGAUUGGCGCCAGUGCCAUUUGGUCUCGGCUGCUGCAUCCCGUGACCCCAGGGAACUGCAGCGCUUGCCGCUCGCUGGAGCUGGAUGAAGACCCCCUAUUUGAUAGAGAUGGCCAAAACAGAAGGAGGAAGCUGGAGGGGGGACCUCUGGGUUGUGGAGCCAUCUUUAGUCACCAGGAAGGGACCGGGAGAACCAGGAUUGAAGGAACAGCCUGCUUCACGCGCGCCUCGGGAGAACAGAUGCAAGCCACUGGCCCUUUGCAGGGAAUAAAUGCAAUAUGGGGCUUCAACUCUAAAGAAGCUCCUUGCAUCCUCUUGGUGGCACCACUGUUGUCACCAAGCAGCUGCUGGUUUGCUAGGGAGGGGACACCUAUGUGGAAGUUUCGGUAAUUGUUUUCAAAUGUCAAUGUCAAGGAUUUUUUUUUCUUUUUGUAGUAAUACAGAUAAAGAAGGAUUGAACCAGUCCUUUCUCAGAAUUUGGUCCAGCUGGUCAGAAUCACUGGUGAGCUUGUUAAAAUGCAGAUUCUCAGUCCAAGUCGCAGAUGAAUUGAUUGGAAUUUGUGAGAGACACACCCCAGGAAUGGACGUUUUAUAGAUGCUCCCCAAUGAUUCACGUGUUCAUAAAAGCUUAGUAGUCACUGCCUUAAACCUUUUGUGGCUCCAGAUGGAGUUAGAAGUGAAUUGCUUAGAAAUGAAGUAUAGGGGGCUGGCCCGGUGGUGCAGCGGUUAAGUUCGCACGUUCUGCUUCUCGGCAGCCUGGGGUUUGCCGGUUCGGAUCCGGGUGCAGACAUGGCACCGCUUGGCAAGCCAUGCUGUGGUAGGUAUCCCACAUAUAAAGUAGAGGAAGAUGGGCAUGGAUGUUAGCUCAGGGCCAGGCUUCCUCAGCAAAAAGAGGAGGACUAGCAGUAGUUAGCUCAAGGCUAAUCU
RNAcentral lists this long non-coding RNA (1399 nucleotides) under Equus caballus (horse). RNAcentral's name for it is "lncRNA (ENSECAG00000045688.1)". Lineage: Eukaryota; Metazoa; Chordata; Mammalia; Perissodactyla; Equidae. The record is from RNAcentral.